This 4690-nucleotide long non-coding RNA is filed under the name Homo sapiens (human). RNAcentral's name for it is "HSALNT0234107". The record is from RNAcentral. Lineage: Eukaryota; Metazoa; Chordata; Mammalia; Primates; Hominidae.
GUAUUACCACUUAACCAAUAGUGACCACAUUAAUACUUAUGCUGGUGAAUGCCAUGGGCAGGGCUUAGGGCACUCCAGUCAGUGAACUCAGCACAGGCGUCUUGCUCUGAACACAUGCAGGCCUGGGCACAGCCGAAGUGGGGCCCAGGAGAAAGCUGGUCGUGAUGUGCUAAAGCCCCUUUGCUUUCCCAGAGAAGGAUCUGCAAGCAGGGUCUUUGCUGGUAACCAAGCGGAGCAUUGUCCCCCUAGAGAAACUCCCUGAUUGAGGGGCCAUGGCACGCCCCUGCUCUUCUGUGGCCUUCUGUGUCCUCAUCUGUAUUUGGGGCUCCCACUACGUCUCUCAGGAUUGGUGACAAGAUUAAAUGAGAGUAUAUGAGACUUGGCGUACUUUCCCCCAGGGAUUCCAUAAAGCAGUCCCAUUGGAAGCUCUUGCAUUUGGAGAUUUCCAGUGAUGUUUCUACUUCAUCAUUCACAUCCCUUCCUGGAAACAUGGAUGUGGUGGCACUGGACCAGGAGUGUGCCUACGCUGGGCAUGAAGCCAAGUCCAGAAGUUGGCAUCCAAGAUCAGAAGACAUGACCAGUGCAUUGAUCUGGAAUGCCUGGCCAAGAGCCUGAACUCAGAACCCAGCAGCAGAAUGGACAGUAGUCUCAAGAGCCAACAUGGGGAGGUUCAAGAUGAGGGCAGGAGGGGUAUCCUGGGCACUUGUAUAGGGCAGCCACUGUCUUGCCCAAGGAAGAGAAGGAGGCUGUGUUUGGUACCAGGUGAGUGGGAAACGCCAGUGUGUGCAUGACCCAUGAUAAUUCCUCCACCAAGAUUGUCAAUUGGUAAUAAAUCUGGGGAGAUUUUGCUGAGAAAAGUGGCCAGAGAGAGCAAAGGCAAGAAUGUUAGAGAUUCUUAGGUUUUAGUAGAAAGAGCAUAGUUUGAAGCCAGAUGACCUUGCGUUUAAAUCUCUGAUUUGACUUUGAUGAAUGACACAGUCUUGAUUAUGGUCACUGUAAGUAAUCUGUUCGACGGGCACGAUAACACCUACUACAAGUUUUUGUAAAACUUAUGUGAGCCAAGUGUAGAAAAUGCCCAGAAGAGGGGCUGGCUCGUACUAGGUGGCCCAUAAGUGUUCAUUCCCUGACAUUCACCUUCUCCCUUUCCCCUUAAAAGCAAUGGAAGCCUGGCUGAAGACUGGGGCAGGAGGGUUGGGAGUGAAUUUGGAGGCAGAGAGAGUCUCUGAGACUCUGUCAUUGGGGACUGACAUCCAAGCUGGUGUAAUUCAAGAAGUGCCAGGAGACCCCACCCACUCAGGAAAUCCCCACCAGCCAGAUGGUGACUUGUGGGGUGUAACUUAAUAACCUCCUGGAUUAAGGGCCUUAACAAUGAUUGGUGGCUGUAGGAUGGUUGGGGGGUCCGCAGAUUUAGCCACUGUGUGCAGAGAAGCACACACAGAUAGAGCUCUCAGGGCAAGCUCGGCGGGCCAGGUCGAGAAGGCUGAUCCUUGGAGUUUUCCUGCUGUUGUGGAGUGUGGAGCCCUGGGCUUUGCCAGGACAGAUGGCAGGCAAAUAUAAUUUCUGACCUACGUAAUGAUGUAUGCACAAGAAGCCUCUCUUGAAUGUAUUAAUUCAGUAAACAGUUAUGGAGUCCUUACAAUGUGCUAGUGGGACUUUGAAGAUGAAUCCAAAUUUGGAUCCUGGCCUGGAAAGGCUCAAAGCCCAAUAUGGGAGAUUCUAGCAAGACCUUGUUUAUGUUGGAAACUGUUAGCAGACGCCGAAGCUGUCCGGGGCUGAGUGAGUACCACGUUACUCAGGCUUCACUGCGCUGAAGGAAGAGGUUGAGAUGAGGGCAGUCACUCACCUGUGAUGAAGACCCACUCUGCAGCUUCAUUUCCUGUCAUUACAGACAGUGCCUGGGCCCAAUCAGGAGGGGCUUAUGGGGAAUGGGGGGCAGGUGGCACUGGGGUGUCUAGGGAGAGCAAAUACAAAUUGGAUACCACCUAGAGGUCGCGAAAUGGAGAAUAAGUUUCUAAGAACAGCUAAAAAAUGAAAGAGACAUGACAACCAAAUGCAACAUGUGACCCUUGAUAGGCCCUUAGACUUUUUUUAAAAAAAAGCUAUAAAGAACAUUAUUGGGACCACUGUGUCAAUUUGAAUAUGAUUGCAUGUUAUAUGAUAUUAUUGCAUUAAUAUUAAACUUCUUAAGUAUGAAAUUGGUGUGGUGGUUAUGUAAGAGGAUUCUUUAAUUUUGGAGAAAUACCUGCUAUUAUAGUAUCUGCAGCUUUUAUAUGCUAUGUGUGUGUGCAUAUAUAUCUAUAUCUAUAUAUAAUAUGUACUUACAGAGAGAGAUGAAGCAAAUGUCAUAAAAUAUUAACAGUUGGUGAAUGUGGGUGAAACUUGUAUGGUGUUCCUUGUGCUAUUCUUUCUAAUCUUCCGUAAGUCUGAAGUCUUUUAAAAUAAAAAGUAUGGGAAAAUGGCCCCAAAGUCAGCUAUGUGCCAUGGCAUAGCUUCCCUAUCCUACAAUCCUUCUGGGUUUAUUCAUCCCAUAGGUUAAGGCAGACACACUCCUGUUAUACUUUGGGCUCAUCUCCUUAUUUGCUCUGUUCUCUCUGCAGACAGAGUCAGCAACCUCCUUAUAAUUGUGUGGCUUGAUGAUGUGAGGAACAUCAGAGUUAUCCCUAAAACUCAUUUAUAUGUGUCUUGGGCUACUCCUCCUCAGCACCCAAGUAACAGCCAUUUUUGAGUGACGGCAACAGUGUCGGCAAAAGCAAACAUUUAUUGAAUAUUCACUGUGUGCCAGAUAUUUUAUCUGUAUCAGUUCACCUGAUUCUCAUAAACAAACCUCGGUUAGGUUCUCUUAUCACCCUGUUUUAUAUAUGAGGCGAUGAGGCUCCUACUGCUGACAAGCAGUGGAGUCAGAAUUUGAAGAAUCUAGGGCCAGUGACUCUAAAACCUGCAUUCCUGACCACGGUUGAGCAUGUCUCGGCCUGCAGCUGCAUUGCAACUACCUAGAGAACAUUUGCAAAAUUUACACGUGCAGGCACUGCUCCCAGGAGUAUGGAGUUAUGCAGUGGGGCUCAGACAUCUGUUGCAUACAAAGGUUUGGCUGUUUGGCUUCAGUCUCCCUUGUCUCCCUCAGCCUUGGCUGACUCAGAAAUUGGAAUGAGUUGUCUGUGGAUCCUGUAAGGAGCCUGGACAUGGUGAAGAGAAUGCCUUGACCAUCAGGAGACAGCUUAGCUUGUUGAAUCUUGAUCACUUCUUCUGACCGCUUUGGAUCUUAAAAGAACAAGGGAUGAUGGUGACUUAUGGUGACAACCAAGAACAGGCUUCAGAAAGAAAGCAGCUGUGUAGCUAUGGCCAAAUUGAACUUCUUGAGUCGGUGUCCUCGCUUGUAAAAUGGACAAUUCUACUGAAGGAAAUUGAAGGUCUUACCGACUCCAUCCAAGGAAUUGACAAGAGAUCCCCAAGAAGGUUGCAUAGAGCGAGUGAGAACACUGUCUUGAACUGCUGGGGCAUCUGCCUAAGAAUGAAAGCAAAGAACAGAGGAAAGCAGACCUAGGAGAAGGAGGGAAAGACAACGUCCCAGUAAUAACAUUCAAGCUUCUGGAUCCAACCAUGUUUGCUGCCGGACAUUAGUCCUGGUACUUCUUGUUACAUGAUCCAGUGAAUGGCUCCUCGUGCCCUCCUCUCCCCAUAUGUUUCCUCCUUUUUUUGCUUAAGGUAGUUUGAGGUAGAUUUCCAUUGUCUGCAAGUACAGAAAGAUUUGUGGAGUAGAUAGCACCUCAGCUGCAUCUUGAAGGAUGAAUAGGAAAUUCUCAGGAGAAAUAGGGAUGGAACUGAGGUGAGUAAGACUUUUCGGGCAGAAGGAACAUAUAAACAGCUUAGGGAGAAAUAUUCUAAGUGAAAUAUUUAUAUAAAAUAACUAUACAAUGGGCAUUUCCAUGGGCUCAGGCUUCUCACUUAGAAAAAUACUCUUGGCUCUCUAUAGCUGUGAGUUCCACGUCUGUGGAUUCAAACAACUGAGGAUUGAAAUAUUGGGGGAAAAAGGAUGGUUGUGUAUGUACUGAAUAUUUGUGGAUUUUUUGUCCUUGUCAUUGUCCCCAAACAAUACAGUAUAGCAACUGUUUACAUAGCAUUGAUACUGCAUUGGGUAUAAGUAAUCUAGAGAUGAUUUAAAGUAUGCAGGAGGAUGUGCACAGGUUAUAUGCAAAUCUAUGCUUUUUAAAAUUAUACUUUAAGUUCUGGGGUACAUGUGCAGAACGUUCAGGUUUGUUACAUAGGUAUACACGUGCUAUGGUGGUUUGCUGCACCCAUCAACCCGUCAUCUACCUUGGUAUUUCUCCUAAUGCUCUCCCUCCCCUAGCUCCCCACCCCCCGACAGGCCCCGGUGUGUGAUGUCCCCCUCCCUGUGUCUAUGUGUUCUCUUUGUUCAACUCCCACUUAUGAGUGAGAACAUGCAGUGUUUGGUUUUCUGUUCUUGCGUUAGUUUGCUGAGAGUGAUGGUUUCCAGCUCCAUCCAUCUCCCUGUAAAGGACAUGAACUCAUCCUUUUUUAUGGCUGCAUAAUACUAUGCUAUUUUAUAUCAGGGACUUGAGCAGCUGUGGAGUCUGGUAUCCAUGGCAGGGUCCUGGAACCAAUUCCCAGUGGAUACUGAGGGAUGACUGUACAGCUAUAGAGUGGCCAACAUUCAUUUGUAAACAGUACCCAC